Molecule: ribosomal RNA, 417 nt
Filed under: Clostridioides difficile
Lineage: Bacteria; Bacillati; Bacillota; Clostridia; Peptostreptococcales; Peptostreptococcaceae
Description: bacterial LSU rRNA
Rfam family: Bacterial large subunit ribosomal RNA
Source: RNAcentral
UAUAGAGGUAGGGGUAGCCGCAAGGGUAGUGAGACGAGAGGGAGCACUGAAUGUCCUAAUGGGUAUUGCAACUACCUAAGAGUAUGAAACGCCGGAUGCCGUCAUCUUAUACUGGGGAGUCAGACUGGUGGGUAUAAUAUUCAUAGGCGAAAGGGCAACAGCCCAGAUCGUCAGCUAAGGUUCCUAAAUGUAAGUUAAGUGGUAAGGGAUGUGGGAUUGCACAGACAACAAGGAUGUUGGCUUAGAAGCAGCCACUCAUUCAAGGAGUGCGUUAUAGCUCACUGGUCGCGUGAUCCUGCGCCGAAGAUUGCCGGGGCUAAAACUUACUACCGGAGAUACGGCAUCAGUAAUGAGGGGUAGGGGAGCUUCCCAGACGGGUUGAAGCAUGCCCGUAAGGACAUGUGGACAGUAUGGGAG